Molecule: ribosomal RNA, 697 nt
Filed under: Escherichia coli
Lineage: Bacteria; Pseudomonadati; Pseudomonadota; Gammaproteobacteria; Enterobacterales; Enterobacteriaceae
Description: bacterial SSU rRNA
Rfam family: Bacterial small subunit ribosomal RNA
Source: RNAcentral
AAAUUGAAGAGUUUGAUCAUGGCUCAGAUUGAACGCUGGCGGCAGGCCUAACACAUGCAAGUCGAACGGUAACAGGAAGCAGCUUGCUGCUUUGCUGACGAGUGGCGGACGGGUGAGUAAUGUCUGGGAAACUGCCUGAUGGAGGGGGAUAACUACUGGAAACGGUAGCUAAUACCGCAUAACGUCGCAAGACCAAAGAGGGGGACCUUCGGGCCUCUUGCCAUCGGAUGUGCCCAGAUGGGAUUAGCUAGUAGGUGGGGUAACGGCUCACCUAGGCGACGAUCCCUAGCUGGUCUGAGAGGAUGACCAGCCACACUGGAACUGAGACACGGUCCAGACUCCUACGGGAGGCAGCAGUGGGGAAUAUUGCACAAUGGGCGCAAGCCUGAUGCAGCCAUGCCGCGUGUAUGAAGAAGGCCUUCGGGUUGUAAAGUACUUUCAGCGGGGAGGAAGGGAGUAAAGUUAAUACCUUUGCUCAUUGACGUUACCCGCAGAAGAAGCACCGGCUAACUCCGUGCCAGCAGCCGCGGUAAUACGGAGGGUGCAAGCGUUAAUCGGAAUUACUGGGCGUAAAGCGCACGCAGGCGGUUUGUUAAGUCAGAUGUGAAAUCCCCGGGCUCAACCUGGGAACUGCAUCUGAUACUGGCAAGCUUGAGUCUCGUAGAGGGGGGUAGAAUUCCAGGUGUAGCGGUGAAAU